This 1377-nucleotide long non-coding RNA is filed under the name Numida meleagris (helmeted guineafowl). RNAcentral describes it as "lncRNA (ENSNMEG00000002039.1)". The record is from RNAcentral. Lineage: Eukaryota; Metazoa; Chordata; Aves; Galliformes; Numididae.
CCUCCAGGUCCCAUUCUGCAUCCCCGUGUCUGUCCUGGUGCCACCACCUCACUGCGUCCCUGCAUCCCCAUUUCCAGUGUCCUUAUACCCCCCUUCCCAAUGUCCCUAUAUCCCUAAACCCCAGUGUCCCUAUAUGCCCAAACCUCAAUGUCCCUAUAUAUUUCCCAGUGUCCCCAUAUCUCAUUUCCGAAUGCCCCUGUGUUCCAUUUCCCAUAUCCCUAAACCCCAGUGUCCCUAUAUCCCCAAACCUCCAUGUCCCUAUAUAUUUCCCAGUGUCCCCCAUCUCAUUUCCCAAUGCCCCUGUGUUCCAUUUCCCACAUCCCUUUAUCCCCAUACCCCAAUGUCCCUGUAUCCCCAUAAUUUCCCUGUGUCCCUAUAUCUCAUUUCCCAACGUCUCGAUACCUCCACUUCUCUAUGCCCCCACAUCCCAUUGUCCCUGUACUCCCACUUUCCAACAUCCCCAUACCCCUGCAAUUUCCCAGUGUCCCCGUAUCUCAUUUCCCAACGUCCCUAUUCCCCCACUUCCCUAUACCCCCACUUCCCAAUGUCCCUCUACCCCCGUCAUUUCCCAAUGAUGCCCCUAUACCCCCACCCCCCAAUCUCCCUCCGUCCCCACACCCCCGCGCCGCGUCCCUGCGCCCCAUAUCCCCGCGCCCCCCUGACCCAUCCCGUGCCCCCCAGCAUGCGCGGCGUUCCUGGAGCAGCCGACGUUGGCAUUCGUGCGGCUCCGCGAGACGCUGCCGCUGGACACUGAGCUGGCCGUGCCGCUGCCCAUGCGCUUCAUGGUGGUGGUGCUGUGCCCCCUCAGCACCCGGCUCCAGUACCACGAGAUCGGCCGCGCCGCCGCCACCGUCAUGUCCGACCGGCUCCACAUAUUUGUGCCCCAUGUCCCCAUCACCCCAUGUCCCCAAGUCCCCAUGCUGCUGUGGCCCCCCCACACCCUCAUGUUCCCACGCCACAGUGUCCCACGUCCCCACCUCCCCUUGUUCCUAUGUCCCCAUGCCACCACCACCCCUUGUCCUUGUGCCCCACAUCCCUCCAUAUCCCCUGUCCCCAUUUCCUUGUGGCUCCACAUGUCACGUUCCUCUGUAGCUCCGUGUCCCCACAUCCCCAUCCCCUGAUGUCCCCCUGUCCCCAUGCCCCCGUAGCCCCAACACCCACAUUGUUCCCAUGCCACAGUGUCCCAUGUCCCCAUCUCUGUGUCCCAUGUCCCCAUGUCCCCACAUCCUUUUGUCCCCAUGCCACAUCCCCGUGCCCCAUGUGCCACCACGUCCCCAUGCCCCUGUCCCCGUGUGUCCCUAUGUGCCCAUACCCUGUGGCCCCAGCAUCCCAAUCUCACAUUGUCCCGCGUCUCCAUGCCCCCAUUCCCCCGCACCC